Molecule: ribosomal RNA, 253 nt
Filed under: uncultured bacterium
Lineage: Bacteria
Description: partial 16S ribosomal RNA
Rfam family: Bacterial small subunit ribosomal RNA
Source: RNAcentral
UACGAAGGGGGCUAGCGUUGCUCGGAAUCACUGGGCGUAAAGGGUGCGUAGGCGGGUCUUUAAGUCAGGGGUGAAAUCCUGGAGCUCAACUCCAGAACUGCCUUUGAUACUGAGGAUCUUGAGUUCGGGGGAGGUGAGUGGAACUGCGAGUGUAGAGGUGAAAUUCGUAGAUAUUCGCAAGAACACCAGUGGCGAAGGCGGCUCACUGGCCCGAUACUGACGCUGAUGCACGAAAGCGUGGGGAGCAAACAGG